Molecule: ribosomal RNA, 253 nt
Filed under: uncultured bacterium
Lineage: Bacteria
Description: partial 16S ribosomal RNA
Rfam family: Bacterial small subunit ribosomal RNA
Source: RNAcentral
UACGAAGGGGGCUAGCGUUGCUCGGAAUUACUGGGCGUAAAGGGCGCGUAGGCGGACAGUUAAGUCAGAGGUGAAAGUCCAGGGCUCAACCCUGGAAUAGCCUUUGAUACUGGCUGUCUUGAGUGCGGGAGAGGUGUGUGGAACUCCGAGUGUAGAGGUGAAAUUCGUAGAUAUUCGGAAGAACACCAGUGGCGAAGGCGACUCACUGGACACAUAUUGACGCUGAGGUGCGAAAGCGUGGGGAGCAAACAGG